AAUCUUCCGCAAUGGACGCAAGGCUGACGGAGCAACGCCGCGUGAGUGAUGAAGGUUUUCGGUUCGUAAAACUCUGUUGUUAGGGAAGAACAAGUAUCGGAUUCACUGCCGGUACAUUCACGGUACCUGACGUGAACGUCACUGCGAACUCCGUGCCAUCAUCCGCGGUAAUAGGUAGGUGGCAAGCGUUGUCCGGAUUUAUUGGUCGUAAAGCGCGCGCAGGCGGUCUUUUAAGUCUGAUGGGAAAUCUUACAGCUUAACUGUAAGCGGUCAUUGGAAACUGGGAGGCUUGAGUGCAGAAGAGGAGAGUGGAAUUCCAUGUGUAGCGGUGAAAUGCGUAGAGAUAUGGAGGAACACCAGUGGCGAAGGCGACUCUCUGGUCUGUAACUGACGCUGAGGCGCGAAAGCGUGGGGAUCAAACA
RNAcentral lists this ribosomal RNA (422 nucleotides) under uncultured bacterium. Its description in RNAcentral is "partial 16S ribosomal RNA". It matches the Rfam family "Bacterial small subunit ribosomal RNA", at positions 360 to 774 of the family's 1533-position model. The record is from RNAcentral.